This 429-nucleotide ribosomal RNA is filed under the name uncultured archaeon. Its description in RNAcentral is "bacterial SSU rRNA". It matches the Rfam family "Archaeal small subunit ribosomal RNA", at positions 474 to 903 of the family's 1478-position model. The record is from RNAcentral.
UACCAGCUCUCCGAGUGGUAGGGAUGAUUAUUGGGCUUAAAGCGUCCGUAGCCGGCUUGGCAAGUCUCCUGUUAAAUUCAGCGACCUAAUCGUUGAGCCGCGGGAGAUACUACUAGGCUAGGAGGCGGGAGAGGUCGACGGUACUUCUGGGGUAGGGGUGAAAUCCUAUAAUCCCGGGAGGACCACCAGUGGCGAAGGCUGUCGACUAGAACGCGCUCGACGGUGAGGGACGAAAGCUGGGGGAGCGAACCGGAUUAGAUACCCGGGUAGUCCCAGCUGUAAACGAUGCGGGCUAGGUGUUGGGGUGGCUACGUGCCACUUCAGUGCCGCAGGGAAGCCAUUAAGCCCGCCGCCUGGGGAGUACGGCCGCAAGGCUGAAACUUAAAGGAAUUGGCGGGGGAGCACCACAAGGCGUGAAGCUUGCGGUUC